Molecule: long non-coding RNA, 2413 nt
Filed under: Homo sapiens (human)
Lineage: Eukaryota; Metazoa; Chordata; Mammalia; Primates; Hominidae
Description: HSALNT0367098
Source: RNAcentral
AGCAAGUGGCUGUGGUCCCCUUCCACGGUGUGGGGGCUUUGUUCUUUCCCUCUUUGCAAUAAAUCUUGCUGCUGCUCACUCUUUGGGUCCACACUGUCUUUAUGAGCUGUAACAUUCACCGCGAAGGUUUGCAGCUUCACUCCUUAAGCCAGUGAAACCACUAACCCACCAAGAAGAAUGAACAAACAACUCCAGACGCGCGGCCUUAAGAGCUGUAACACUCACCGCGAAGGUCCGCAGCGUCUCUCCUGAGCUAGUGUGACCACGAACCAACCAGAAGGAACAAACUCCGAACACGCCGCCUUUAAGAACUGUAAUACUCACCGCGACGGCUUUUAAGAACUGUAACACUCACCGCGACGGUCGGCGGCUUCAUUCUUGAAGUCAGUCAGACCAAGAACCUACCAAUUCCGGACGCACUACCCGGGGGACAUGAUAAAUCUGGGAAGGGCACCUCAGGUUUUAUCUUCAUCAGCCUGGUCAAAGCUGGAUUUCCAUCACACAUGUGCUCACUCCACGGAACGUGCAAAAGGUCAAGACAUACAAACUCAGAGUUUUUAAAAUCAAGAAUUGAAAGUGGUCCACUAGCUUCUGUUCAUAGGACAUUGAGCCCCAGAUUUGGCACAUGACCUCUUAAGGCUCUAAUAUCUUGUCUUCUGGCUAUGAGAACAGAGCAUAUGGUUUGCUUGAAGAUUCUUGUUCAACACUUAUCCAUUAAUCUGACAGCAGGAAGUGCUAAAGAGCAGAAACAGGAGUCGGUCAGACUCUCACCUCAAGUCCAAGGCAAAUAUGCUUGCCCCUAAAAGACAUACUUGAUCUUCAAGUUCAGGAAAACCAGAUACAAAGGUAACUGCUAACAUUUCUCCCUUAUGAUUUCGGGACAUUCUUUCAGUAAGCUAUUUCAUCAGUAAUUAUAUUAUUCAUAUAUGAUUUUUUCCCUUAUAGAACAACACACACACACACACACACACACACACACACACACACACACACUCACAUAUCAAAACAAGGAAUUAAAGCAAGGAAUUAUGGAAUUAUGGUUUGUAUAGGGUUUGGGAAUAAUGUUUUGGUUUUGUGAUAAAUCCUAAGUAACACUUCACUUGCCUUUAUUUAUCUAUACGUAAUUCCCAAGAAACUCUGUCCUGCCUUCUUCCAACUGUCACAGCUACCUGGAGGGAAUUUAUCAGCAACCAGUACUUCUGUCAAAACUUUGUGAAAAAUAACUAUGCUGUGCUGUUGAAUAAUUUCUACAUAAUGACUAAUAUAGUUGAGGAGAAUCUCUGUAAACCAGUGAGAAAUCAUGAUAAUAAAAGCUCACAAGGAUGUCCAAGAUUCUUGUUUAAUCUGUAUCCAUCAAUCAACUACUCAGAUUUUAAUUUGGGCUCCUUCAUUUCUACCCUAUUAAAUUCCCUUUACCAUCUUCCUUCUCUUUUCUGUUGUGUUUUGAAAGAAAGCCUAUAUGUUAGUGAAACGCAAUUAGUGGAAAUAAGAUUCUCUCAAUAGUAGAGAUAAACAUGCUUUUUCUUUUCAAAACCGGCAAAUACCUAUUUAAAAAAUUACACUCAACUCAACAUUACCAUCAAAGUAGCUUAUCCAUGUUCCGGAUCGCACAGACUACAAACUAUAUUCCUUGCCUUCUGGAAUGUCUUUCUCAUCUCUCCUACUUGAUACUCCAGCUCAUUGGCUUAUGAACCCCCUACCAGGGCAGGUACAAUUCAUUAUUCAUUCAUGCAUGCAUUCGAAAGACAUUUCUUGAAUGCAUUUGCCAAUCAGUGUAGUAGGGGAUUUAUGUUACUUUUAAUCCAAUGCCCAUACAAGGUACAAGGUACACAUUCUUAUUUUACAGAUGAGGAACUGGGACUAAAAUUAACUUGCUAGACCAAGUCUGUGUGAUGCCAAAGCUUGUGCUUGUUCUUCUACAUUAUGCAAGACAGAAGGCAACAGAUGAUUAACUGUAGUUUUCUACAUUUUGCACUAACAUGACCCUCCACUGGCUUAAAACGUAGAAAGUUGCCAUCCUUCCAGGCAGGACCAACUCAGUGAAGGAAAUGAGUACAUCUGUUCACUUGCCAAAUGUGCUCUUUUGGAAAAAAAAAUUUGAAGUUAUACAAAUAUUUGCCAUUCCAUUAACUUAUGUGAUCUAGAAACUAAUGAACACAAAAUGAAUUUUUGCUUUUUGGGCUAUUUGUCUUGUCAUUAGCUAAAACAUUAUGACAAACUUCAUCUGUAACAUAAACAAACCUGAGCUAUUUUAAAGUCCAGAAAAUGUGAAGCUAGUGCCGAAUCUCAGUGGAAUACUAAUUUUUACAACUGUCUGCCUCUUUGCAGCAGGCGUCUUCUCUAUUUGGUUUCCAUUUCGAAAUCAUGAAAUGAACGUACCGUCCUGACCUCCAGCCAUCUGUUGGCAGCUGAG